RNAcentral lists this microRNA (22 nucleotides) under Lepisosteus oculatus (spotted gar). Its description in RNAcentral is "Loc-Mir-130-P4a_3p (mature (co-guide))". Lineage: Eukaryota; Metazoa; Chordata; Actinopteri; Semionotiformes; Lepisosteidae. The record is from RNAcentral.
CAGUGCAAUAACGAAAGGGCGU